Molecule: ribosomal RNA, 445 nt
Filed under: uncultured bacterium
Lineage: Bacteria
Description: partial 16S ribosomal RNA
Rfam family: Bacterial small subunit ribosomal RNA
Source: RNAcentral
GUGAGGAAUAUUGGUCAAUGGACGGAAGUCUGAACCAGCCAUGCCGCGUGCAGGAAUAAGGUCCUAUGGAUUGUAAACUGCUUUUAUUCGGGAAUAAACCUCUUUACGUGUAGGGAGCUGAAGGUACCGAAGGAAUAAGCACCGGCUAACUCCGUGCCAGCAGCCGCGGUAAUACGGAGGGUGCAAGCGUUAUCCGGAAUCAUUGGGUUUAAAGGGUCCGCAGGCGGGCUAUCAAGUCAGAGGUGAAAUCCCACAGCUUAACUGUGGAACUGCCUUUGAAACUGAUGGUGUUGAAGUAAGUGGGCGUUGGCGGAAUAUGACAUGUAGCGGUGAAAUGCAUAGAUAUGUCAUGGAACACCGAAAGCGAAGGCAGCUAACGAUACUUAUAUUGACGCUCAUGGACGAAAGCGUGGGUAGCGAACAGGAUUAGAAACCCGAGUAGUCC